CAUAUGUAAUCCUGAAGUAAUCUAGAUUACUCAUAAGUACGAAGUUGAUGCUGCAGUUAUUUCGGUCUCUUUGUAAUAUUUGCAAAUUUUUUUCUAUGUGUUAUAAAGCCAUGAUUUUACUUAUGAUUUUAUUCUUGGAAAAAAAAGUUACGCAUAGAUCUAGACUGUCGAUUUUUGAGCUGUUAUAACUUUGUGAAAAAAGUCAAACAAUAAUCUUUGAGAUUAUUUUAAAGUAGAGGCUUUUUACUUUCAAUUGAUUCUAUAAAAAAUUGUAUAAUUUUUUUCAUGAAAUUAAAAUAAUUUACUUGCGCGCAAUUUUUUAUCAAAAAGUGUAUUUAGGAUAUUGAAUGCAAAUUAUAUAUGCCUAUUGCUUUAUUAUUAUAAUUUUUUUUUCUUCAGCAAAUAUUUUUCAUACGCAUUUCAAUGUGCAAUUUUUACAAAAUUUUUCAUAACUUUAUUGAAUACAUUUUAUUUUUUGUUCCAUACUAAUUGUUAUUUGAAUGAUUUUAAACGAUAUUAAAUGUAAUGCGCGCGCGCGCGUGUGUGUGUGUGUGUGCCCGCGCGCACGCGCGUGCGUGCGUGUGUGCAUGCAUGCAUGUACGUGUGUAUGUAAUAAUAAAAAUGUAAUAAGGAAGUUUGGUAAAAAGUACCAAUUUUUGCCCAUUAUUUCGGAUGUAAAAUACAUGUGGAUUAUUAUUGUUAGUACUUUACUGAAUAUGAAAACAUUUUUUAAGCUUGGAACCAAUGAGAACUUACGGAGAUUUGAUAAUAAAGAUGGGAUAUUACAUAUGAUAUCAGCGAUUUUUUCAAUAUUAUAUGUAGUACUUUGAUAUUUCGCGAAUGAUUUAUCAGACUUUUUUCAAAUUUGGUAAGGAAGUAUUUUGGGGACCAAAUAACAUCCUUGUUGAUUUUUAAAGAAAUCAAUUUGGGCUGACGUGGGAAAGUAGAAACGGUACAUGAAAAAAAGACAUUGUGAGACAAAUACACAAUUAUUUAAAUAUUAGCAUCUAAAUCUUUAUUAAAAUCAAGUGAAUAUGACAUCUCAAAUUCGAUUUAUUUAAUCUAUGUAAAUCGGGAUAGAGACAAAUAGGUAGGUAUCUAUUUGGAUGAUACAUGAUUUAUUUAAAAUUGUUAUCAAAUAAUUCUAAUUUAUUUGAAAUAAACAAUGUUUAUUUACCUCAAAUAAAUUAUUUUCGUAUAUAAUUAAACAGUAACAAAAAGAACAGAAUUAUUAUAACAUGAAUUAUAUAUAACAUUCUUAUGUAAAAACUGAUC
Long non-coding RNA from Solenopsis invicta (red fire ant), 1275 nucleotides. RefSeq lists it as uncharacterized. The record is from RefSeq and is a predicted model, not a curated record. NCBI's taxonomy places the organism in Eukaryota, Metazoa, Arthropoda, Insecta, Hymenoptera, Formicidae. The transcript has 2 exons.